Molecule: ribosomal RNA, 434 nt
Filed under: uncultured Oscillospiraceae bacterium
Lineage: Bacteria; Bacillati; Bacillota; Clostridia; Eubacteriales; Oscillospiraceae
Description: partial 16S ribosomal RNA
Rfam family: Bacterial small subunit ribosomal RNA
Source: RNAcentral
ACGGGAGGCAGCAGUGGGGAAUAUUGCACAAUGGGCGAAAGCCUGAUGCAGCAACGCCGCGUGAGGGAUGAAGGUUUUCGGAUUGUAAACCUCUGUCUUCGGUGAAGAUAAUGACAUUAGCCGAGGAGGAAGCCACGGCUAACUACGUGCCAGCAGCCGCGGUAAUACGUAGGUGGCAAGCGUUGUCCGGAUUUACUGGGUGUAAAGGGAGCGCAGGCGGGAAAGCAAGUCAGCGGUGAAAUGCAUAGGCUUAACCUAUGAACUGCCGUUGAAACUGUUUUUCUUGAGUGGAGUAGAGGCAAGCGGAAUUCCGAGUGUAGCGGUGAAAUGCGUAGAUAUUCGGAGGAACACCAGUGGCGAAGGCGGCUUGCUGGGCUCUAACUGACGCUGAGGCUCGAAAGUGUGGGGAGCAAACAGGAUUAGAUACCCUGGUA